GCCGCUGUAGCUCAGUUGGCAGAGCGUCGGUUUCGUAAACCGAAGGUCGUGGGAUCGUGACCCACCAGCGGCUCCA
This 76-nucleotide transfer RNA is filed under the name Hadesarchaea archaeon CG08_land_8_20_14_0_20_51_8. RNAcentral describes it as "tRNA-Thr". It matches the Rfam family "tRNA". From Rfam's summary of the family: Transfer RNA (tRNA) molecules are approximately 80 nucleotides in length. RNAcentral also lists the same sequence under 1 other name. Lineage: Archaea; Methanobacteriati; Hadarchaeota (SeqCode); Hadarchaeia (SeqCode). The record is from RNAcentral.